AUUGAACGCUGGCGGCAUGGCUAAAACAUGCAAGUCGAACGAUUAAAGCCCCUUCGGGGGUAUAUAAAGUGGCGAACGGGCGAGUAAUGCGUUCCUAACGUGCCCCAGGGCCGGGGAUAGCUCGAGGAAACUCGAAUUAAUACCCGAUAAUCUCAUCGCAUCGCAUGAUGUGUUGAGCAAAAGCUUGCUACCCUGGGAUCGGGGAACGUGCUAUCAGGUUGUUGGUGAGGUAACGGCUCACCAAGCCUAAGACGGCUAGCGGGUGUGAGAGCACGGCCCGCCGCAUCGGGACUGAGACACUGCCCGG
Molecule: ribosomal RNA, 307 nt
Filed under: uncultured bacterium
Lineage: Bacteria
Description: bacterial SSU rRNA
Rfam family: Bacterial small subunit ribosomal RNA
Source: RNAcentral